AUUGCACAUUGUUAGAGCCUGGGGUGAGGCCCCUGGUGGCCUGUGGACCCACAAGUGUAGGUAGUGCGCUACACGAGGGGCAAGGCUUUCGCUAACACUCCACUCCGGCCCAGUGGGUGGAGCUUGAUAGUAACCCUUGCUACAGGU
RNAcentral lists this small nucleolar RNA (147 nucleotides) under Octodon degus (degu). Lineage: Eukaryota; Metazoa; Chordata; Mammalia; Rodentia; Octodontidae. The record is from RNAcentral.